UACGUAGGGUGCAAGCGUUAAUCGGAAUUACUGGGCGUAAAGCGUGCGCAGGCGGUUGUGCAAGACAGAUGUGAAAUCCCCGGGCUUAACCUGGGAAUUGCAUUUGUGACUGCACGGCUAGAGUGUGUCAGAGGGGGGUAGAAUUCCACGUGUAGCAGUGAAAUGCGUAGAUAUGUGGAGGAAUACCGAUGGCGAAGGCAGCCCCCUGGGAUAACACUGACGCUCAGCCACGAAAGCAUGGGGAGCGAACGGG
Molecule: ribosomal RNA, 253 nt
Filed under: uncultured bacterium
Lineage: Bacteria
Description: partial 16S ribosomal RNA
Rfam family: Bacterial small subunit ribosomal RNA
Source: RNAcentral